CAGCCGCCACGGUAAUGCGUAGGUGGCGAGCGUUGUCCGGAAUUAUUGGGCGUAAAGGGAGCGCAGGCGGACAUAUAAGUCCAUCUUAAAAGUGCGGGGCUCAACCCCGUGAGGGGAUGGAAACUGUAUGCCUUGAGUGCAGGAGAGGAAAGCGGAAUUCCCAGUGUAGCGGUGAAAUGCGUAGAUAUUGGGAGGAACACCAGUGGCGAAGGCGGCUUUCUGGACUGUAACUGACGCUGAGGCUCGAAAGCCAGGGGAGCAAAUGGGAUUAGAUACCCCCGUAGUCCCUGUCUCUUAUACA
This 301-nucleotide ribosomal RNA is filed under the name uncultured bacterium. Its description in RNAcentral is "partial 16S ribosomal RNA". It matches the Rfam family "Bacterial small subunit ribosomal RNA", at positions 509 to 809 of the family's 1533-position model. The record is from RNAcentral.